This 287-nucleotide ribosomal RNA is filed under the name uncultured bacterium. RNAcentral's name for it is "partial 16S ribosomal RNA". It matches the Rfam family "Bacterial small subunit ribosomal RNA", at positions 335 to 618 of the family's 1533-position model. The record is from RNAcentral.
CUUCCUACGGGAGGCAGCAGUGAGGAAUAUUGGUCAAUGGGCGGAAGCCUGAACCAGCCAAGUCGCGUGAGGGAAUAAGGCCCUACGGGUCGUAAACCUCUUUUGCCGGGGAGCAAGGGCGGGGACGUGUCCCGGCCCGGAGAGUACCCGGAGAAAAAGCAUAGGCUAACUCCGUGCCAGCAGCCGCGGUAAUACGGAGGAUGCGAGCGUUAUCCGGAUUUAUUGGGUUUAAAGGGUGCGUAGGCGGGCUUUUAAGUCAGCGGCAAGAAUUCGGUGCGCAAACCCGU